This 582-nucleotide ribosomal RNA is filed under the name Paecilomyces variotii. Its description in RNAcentral is "Byssochlamys spectabilis partial large subunit ribosomal RNA". It matches the Rfam family "Eukaryotic large subunit ribosomal RNA", at positions 69 to 669 of the family's 3401-position model. The record is from RNAcentral. Lineage: Eukaryota; Fungi; Ascomycota; Eurotiomycetes; Eurotiales; Thermoascaceae.
AGGUGAUGCCCAGUAACGGCGAGUGAGCGGCAAGAGCUCAAAUUUGAAAUCUGGCUCCUCCGGGGCCCGAGUUGUAAUUUGCAGAGGAUGCUUCGGGCGCGGUCCCCGUCUAAGUACCCUGGAACGGGUCGUCAUAGAGGGUGAGAAUCCCGUCUGGGACGGGUGGCCGUGUCCGUGUGAAGCUCCUUCGACGAGUCGAGUUGUUUGGGAAUGCAGCUCUAAAUGGGUGGUAAAUUUCAUCUAAAGCUAAAUAUUGGCCGGAGACCGAUAGCGCACAAGUAGAGUGAUCGAAAGAUGAAAAGCACUUUGAAAAGAGAGUUAAACAGCACGUGAAAUUGUUGAAAGGGAAGCGCUUGCGACCAGACUCGCCCGCGGGGGUUCACCCGGUACUCGUACCGGCGUACUCCCCCGGGGGCGGGCCAGCGUCGGUUUGGGCGGUCGGUCAAAGGCCUCCGGAAUGUGUCGCCCCCCGGGGCGUCUUAUAGCCGGAGGUGCAAUGCGGCCAGCCUGGACCGAGGAACGCGCUUCGGCUCGGACGCUGGCGUAAUGGUCGUAAGCGGCCCGUCUUGAAACACGGACCSA